CUACGGGCGGCAGCAGUGGGGAAUAUUGCACAAUGGAGGAAACUCUGAUGCAGCAACGCCGCGUGGAGGAUAACACUUUUCGGAGCGUAAACUCCUUUUAUAUAGGAAGAAGAUGACGGUACUAUAUGAAUAAGCGCCGGCUAACUCCGUGCCAGCAGCCGCGGUAAUACGGAGGGCGCAAGCGUUACUCGGAAUCACUGGGCGUAAAGAGCGUGUAGGCGGAUUAAAAAGUCAGAGGUGAAAUCCUAUAGCUUAACUAUAGAACUGCUUCUGAAACUCUUAAUCUAGAAUAUGGGAGAGGUAGAUGGAAUUUCUGGUGUAGGGGUAAAAUCCGUAGAGAUCAGAAGGAAUACCGAUUGCGAAGGCGAUCUACUAGAACAUUAUUGACGCCGAGACGCGAAAGCGUGGGGAGCAAACAGGAUUAGAUACCCCCGUAGUC
RNAcentral lists this ribosomal RNA (439 nucleotides) under uncultured bacterium. RNAcentral describes it as "partial 16S ribosomal RNA". It matches the Rfam family "Bacterial small subunit ribosomal RNA", at positions 339 to 795 of the family's 1533-position model. The record is from RNAcentral.